AGUUCGAUUAUGGCUCAGAUUGAACGCUGGCGGGAUGCUUUACACAUGCAAGUCGAACGCAACACGGACUUCGGUCUGGUGGCGAGUAUGAACGGGUGAGUAAUGUAUCGGAACGCCUAGUAGCGGGGGAUAACUACGCGUGCGGAAAGCGUAGCCACACCGCAUACGCCCUUCGGGGAAAGCGGGGACCUUUCGCCUCGCACUAUUAGAGCGGCCGAUAUCGGAUUAGCUGUUGGUGGGUAACGGCUCACCAAGGCGACGAUCCGUAGCUGGUUUGAGAGGACGACCAGCCACACUGGGACUGAGACACGGCCCAGACUCCCUACGGGAGGCAGCAGGGAAUUUUGGACAAUGGGGAACCCCGAUCCAGCCAUCCCGCGUGUGCGAUGAAGGCCUUCGGGUUGUAAAGCACUUUUGCAGGAAAGAAACGGCACGGGAUAAUACCCCGUGCAACUGACGGUACCUGCAGAAUAAGCAGCACCGGCUAACUACGUGCCAGCAGCUGCGGUAAUACGUAGGGUGCAAGCGUUAAUCGGAAUUACUGGGCGUAAAGCGUGCGCAGGCGGUUCGAAAGAAAGAUGUGAAAUCCCAGGGCUUAACUUUGGAACUGCAUUUUUAACUACCGAGCUAGAGUGUGUCAGAGGAGGUGGAAUUCCGCGUGUAGCAGCAGUGAAAUGCGUAGAUAUGCGGAGGAACACCGGAUGGCGAAGGCAGCCUCCUGGGAUAACAUUGACGCUCAUGCACGAAAGCGUGGGGAGCAAACAGGAUUAGAUACCCUGGUAGUCCACGCCCCCAAACGAUGUCAACUAGCUGUUGGGCAUUUCGGGCCUUGCAGCGCACAAUUAUGUGAAGUUGACCGCCUGGGGAGUACGGUCGCAAGAUUAAAACUCAAAGGAAUUGACGGGGACCCGCACAAGCGGUGGAUGAUGUGAUUUAAUUGAUGCAACGCGAAAACCUACCUACCCUUGACAUGUCUGAAUCCCGAAGAGAUUUGGGAGGCUCGCAAGAGAACCGGAACACAGGUGCUGCAUGGCUGUCGUCAGCUCGUGUCGUGAGAUGUUGGGUUAAGUCCCGCAACGAGCGCAACCUUGUCAUUAGUUGCUACGAAAGGGCACUCUAAUGAGACUGCCGGUGACAAACCGGAGGAAGGUGGGGAUGACGUCAAGUCCCUUUGGCCCUUAUGGGCAGGGCUUCACACGUCAGCGUCGGUCGGGACAGAGGGUCGCCAACCCGCGAGGGGGAGCCAAUCCCAGAAACCCGAUCAGUCCGGAUCGCAGUCUGCAACUCACUGGGUGUGAAGUCGGAAUCGCUAGUAAUCGCGGAUCAGCAUGUCGCGGUGAAUACGUUCCCGGGUCUUGUACACACCGCCCGUCACACCAUGGAGUGGGUUUUACCAGAAGUAGUUAGCCUAACCGUAAGGAGGGCGAUUACCACGGUAGGAUUCAUGACUGGGGUGAAGUCGUAACAAGGUAG
Molecule: ribosomal RNA, 1473 nt
Filed under: uncultured Bordetella sp.
Lineage: Bacteria; Pseudomonadati; Pseudomonadota; Betaproteobacteria; Burkholderiales; Alcaligenaceae
Description: partial 16S-23S ribosomal RNA intergenic spacer
Rfam family: Bacterial small subunit ribosomal RNA
Source: RNAcentral